GUGCUUGCUCCUGCAGCACAUUAAAAAUUGGAACAUACAGAGAAGAUUAGUACGGUCCCUGCACAAGGAAGGCAUGCAAAUUUACGAAGUAUUCCAUAAUAUA
Molecule: small nuclear RNA, 103 nt
Organism: Apodemus sylvaticus (European woodmouse)
Lineage: Eukaryota; Metazoa; Chordata; Mammalia; Rodentia; Muridae
Source: RefSeq, a predicted model, not a curated record